This is a non-coding RNA of Esox lucius (northern pike), 775 nucleotides long. The record is from the annotation of a RefSeq genome assembly. Lineage: Eukaryota; Metazoa; Chordata; Actinopteri; Esociformes; Esocidae.
CCAGUGUUGAUCAGUGACUGUUCAGUCCUUUCAGAGACACUGACACACAGUACAAUGAUGAUGAUGUCACUGAUUCUACUGGGGACCCUGGGGCUCCUUGUUCAGGAAUCUUCUGCAGAUAUAAUCCUGACCCAGUCUCCUAAAUCUCGGUCUGUUAGUCCAGGAGAGACUGUGUCCAUCAGCUGUACAGCCAGUUCAGAUGUUAGUGAUUAUCUCAACUGGUACCUGCAAAAACCUGGAGAAGCUCCUAAACUUCUAGUUUAUGCUGCUACAGAGCUUGAGUCAGGGAUUCCAGAUCGUUUCAGUGGGAGUGGAUCUGGUUCUCAAUUCACUCUGACCAUCAGUGGAAUCCAGGGUGAAGAUGCAGGAGAUUAUUACUGUCAGCAGGGUGACAGCUAUCCGUUCACACAGUGUUAGAGCGCCUUACAAAAACCUCCCUCUGUUAAAGAGGAACUGUUCUGAAUCAAAACCUACAAAGCGAAUAAUCCUUUAUAGAAAGGAAUAAAACACAAUAAUGUAACUUUACAUUACAAAUAAACUUUUGCUACAUUUAUUUCAAUAAUUUAGCAAAUGACAGAACAAACAACCCCACUGGGACCACCACAGGAUUCAGACCUGGUUGAAUCAUCGUUGUUUCCUGGUCAUUUCAGUUAAAACAUAACACAUUAUGAAAGUCUGUGAGUAAAACUGAUUGGAUUUGCAAAGUCAACAUUGUUUUCAAUUAUUAUACAAUAUUUGUAAGUCACCAAUAAAUGUACAAGUUAUGCAGGAUCUU